This 26-nucleotide non-coding RNA is filed under the name Mus musculus (house mouse). The record is from RNAcentral. Lineage: Eukaryota; Metazoa; Chordata; Mammalia; Rodentia; Muridae.
UAAAAAAUUAGUCUAGGUGCUUCGGU